CCUACGGGAGGCAGCAGUGAGGAAUAUUGGUCAAUGGGCGCGAGCCUGAACCAGCCAAGUAGCGUGAAGGAUGACUGCCCUACGGGUUGUAAACUUCUUUUAUAAAGGAAUAAAGUGAGGCACGGGUGGCUUGUUGUAGGUACUGUAUGAAUAAGGAUCGGCUAACUCGGUGCCAGCAGCAGCGGUAAUCCGGAGGAUCCGGGCGUUAUCCGGAUUUCUUGGGUUUAAAGGGAGCGUAGAUGGGUUGUUAAGUCAGGUGUGAAAGUUUGCGGCUCAACCGUAAAAUUGCAAUUGAUACUGGCAGUCUUGAGUACAGUUGAGGUAGGCGGAAUUCGUGGUGUAGCGGUGAAAUGCAUAGAUAUCACGAAGAACUCCGAUUGCGAAGGCAGCUUACUAAACUGCCACUGACAUUGAUGCUCGAAAGUGUGGGUAUCAAACAGGAUUAGAUACCCCUGUAGUC
This 460-nucleotide ribosomal RNA is filed under the name uncultured bacterium. RNAcentral describes it as "partial 16S ribosomal RNA". It matches the Rfam family "Bacterial small subunit ribosomal RNA", at positions 338 to 795 of the family's 1533-position model. The record is from RNAcentral.